UGUAAUCGGGUGUUUAGCAUGUUACGUUUUGGUCGUGGAGGAAAUUAGUAGUUGAUUACAA
RNAcentral lists this transfer RNA (61 nucleotides) under Acanthoparyphium sp. WAK-2018. RNAcentral describes it as "tRNA-Gln". The record is from RNAcentral. Lineage: Eukaryota; Metazoa; Platyhelminthes; Trematoda; Plagiorchiida; Himasthlidae.